GUUGCCAUCAUUCAGUUGGGCACUCUAGCGAGACUGCCGGUAAUAAACCGGAGGAAGGUGGGAUGACGUCAAAUCAUCAUGCCCCUUAUGACCUGGGCUACACACGUGCUACAAUGGUUGGUACAACGAGUUGCGAGUCGGUGACGGCGAGCUAAUCUCUUAAAGCCAAUCUCAGUUCGGAUUGUAGGCUGCAACUCGCCUACAUGAAGUCGGAAUCGCUAGUAAUCGCGGAUCAGCACGCCGCGGUGAAUACGUUCCCGGGCCUU
Molecule: ribosomal RNA, 266 nt
Filed under: uncultured Streptococcus sp.
Lineage: Bacteria; Bacillati; Bacillota; Bacilli; Lactobacillales; Streptococcaceae
Description: partial 16S ribosomal RNA
Rfam family: Bacterial small subunit ribosomal RNA
Source: RNAcentral